Molecule: ribosomal RNA, 327 nt
Filed under: uncultured Lachnospiraceae bacterium
Lineage: Bacteria; Bacillati; Bacillota; Clostridia; Lachnospirales; Lachnospiraceae
Description: bacterial SSU rRNA
Rfam family: Bacterial small subunit ribosomal RNA
Source: RNAcentral
GAUGAACGCUGGCGGCGUGCCUAACACAUGCAAGUCGAACGGGAACUCCGAGAUGAAGUUUCGAUGGAUUCUUGGAAAUUCUAGUGGCGGACGGGUGAGUAACGCGUGGGUAACCUGCCCUUAAGAGGUGAAUAACAGCGAGAAAUCGCUGCUAAUACACCAUAUGCUUACAAGUAUCGCAUGAUACAGUGAGGAAAGAAAUUCGCUUAAGGAUGGACCCGCGUUUGAUUAGCCAGUUGGCAGGGUAACGGCCUACCAAGUCAUCGAUCAGUAGGGGUUCUGAGAGGAAGGUCCCCCACAUUGGAACUGAGACACGGUCCAAACUCC